Molecule: long non-coding RNA, 1330 nt
Filed under: Heterocephalus glaber (naked mole-rat)
Lineage: Eukaryota; Metazoa; Chordata; Mammalia; Rodentia; Bathyergidae
Description: lncRNA (ENSHGLG00100047445.1)
Source: RNAcentral
GGAAUUCCAGCUGGAGGCCAGGCACUCGGCCCCCACUCACUGCAGUCUGGAGGGAAGCUGAGAGGAAGCUCUUCUUUGGGGAAUGGAAACCGGGAGGUCAUUUUGAAGAGAAAUCAGCAGCACCUCCUGACCCUGCUGACUGCACCUCCAGGACCUGAGUUCUCUUUGGUCCACAGAUCCACAGUGAAGUCCCCAGCUCCUGGAAAAGGGAUCCUGCUGAGUGCUGGGAAGUUGCCAGUGUGUGUGAAUGGCUGGGUUAGCGCAGGUUUUCCCAGCCACCUCACAGAAAGCACCUUUGGGGGGAGCCUUCGGUUCUGGGUCCGGACUGCCACCUCUCAGAGAAGCCACGUAGUUCUUGGAGCACUGUCGGCAGGCAGAGCCACACCAAAGCAAUGCAGGCGGCCAGGACACACAGCGACAUCAUGAACUUCCCCUCUUCCCCAAAACCACCACAGACCUGGCUUCCUUUUCAGUUCGCCAAAGUCUGGAAAAUUAACCCGAGAGUCUAGGCAAAGGAAACUAUUUUCAGCGGCCUUGCUCUUGGGCAGCCCCUCUUCCCUUCCGGUGUCCCGGAAGUUCCCAGGUGUCAGGCGUAGGCACUCACAGUGACUUUUUGAGGGUGCGCAGCAUUGACCUCUACUUUGGAGGGUGCCAUACGGGUAUCAAAGGAAGCGUGUCCAGAGAAGGAGUCCGGGGCUCCGGCGCAGCCGCUGACCUCUGCGGCUUGGCGGGCUCCACAGAACCGAGACUGCGGGACCGGCCCUGCGCAGAGGCGGGCGGGCGCUGUCCACCCGGAGGUGCUGAAAUACAAGUCGCCUGGCGGAGCCGCCAGCAGGAGCUGCCGGUCCCCACCACCUCGGCCAGCGAGACGGGCUUCUCCGUGGAAGGAAAGCAGUUCCAGACGUCGUCAUCGCCCCCAAACCUCAAUGACUGCCUAACUGGUCUCGCUGCUUUUUGUUCCUCAGCCUUUGCUCCACCCAGUACUACUUACUCGAAGUGGGUUUGUCUUUCUUCUUUCUCCUCUUUCCUCUCUUCUCUCUUCUUUCUCCUCCCUCCCUCCCUCCAGCCCCGCUUCCUCCCGCCCUUCCUCCUCCUUUCCUCCCUCCCUUCUUCUUUCUUCUCUUCUAUGCUGAGGAUCCAAUCAGGGCCUCUCACAUGCCAGGCCAGUACUCUACCACUGAGCUACACUCAGCCCCAGAUUGACCUUUUCAAGAGACAAUUCUGAUCGUGCUUAAAGUCCUUCUAUAGUUUCAGAAUAAAACUCAAAGUUCUUGCCACAGCCAUGAGACCCUCUGUCUUCCUCAGUGGUCUAUGUCUGUCCACUUCCCCC